UUAUACCGAGGCGUACGCUGUCAUCAUGCCUGUGCAGAGUCAUAGACAUGUCUAAAAGCAUAAUACAAUAUAAGUUUUGUUGAAAAAG
Trachymyrmex septentrionalis is the source of this 88-nucleotide long non-coding RNA. RefSeq lists it as uncharacterized. The record is from RefSeq and is a predicted model, not a curated record. NCBI's taxonomy places the organism in Eukaryota, Metazoa, Arthropoda, Insecta, Hymenoptera, Formicidae. The transcript is spliced from 3 exons.